Molecule: long non-coding RNA, 702 nt
Organism: Vicia villosa (hairy vetch)
Lineage: Eukaryota; Viridiplantae; Streptophyta; Magnoliopsida; Fabales; Fabaceae
Exons: 3
Source: RefSeq, a predicted model, not a curated record
UGCCAUGGAAGUGUUGGUUGAUUUUGAGAAUCUUUUACCUAAAGUUGUCAAGGUGUUACCCCAGGAGUAUAAACAUGUUCUUGCAAGUAUGAAGUAUGAUGUAGUAGAGAUGAAACAUAUGAUGUAGUGGAGUGUGCUGCUGCUGAUAUAGAUGAAAAAUAUGAUGAAGCUUAAGCAGUAGAGAAAGAUGAUUUUGAAGAGCUAAAGAAGUUGGCAACUGCAUCUUUGAGUGAGAACUCAAGUGAGUGGUGUUAGUCAAACAGUCGUAAAUCUACGGUGGUGUUUUGAAGUGGUGCUUACAAUCUGCAGUUGUGAUCCGGGUGCUUUGGUUUCUGUUUGAGGUGAAAAAGAAGAGGUGUAUUUUAACUUAGUGUUUAAGUAUGUACCUGAAACUGCCUACAGAGUUUCAAAGAACUAUGUCAGGAUGCAUCAACACAUGCCUAUACUUAUAUGCACUAUGUGAACAAAGUGCUGUGAGAUGGCCAUAACUAUUGUUGAACAAAGUGCUGGCCAAUAUCAUGUUUGGUUUAUAAUUGCAGAUGUACAAGUACUUUUAUACUUUAUAUUUCAUACUAUUAAUAGUUACACUUUUAAGUAUUUUGUUUCUUUUUCAAUCAUCUUAACUUCGUAUACAAAUGAAGAAACCACACUGUUGUAUUUGCAAUAAAAAUCUAAAUGCCUAUAAUUCUGCAAUACUUUGAU